GGAAUAUUGGGCAAUGGGCGCAAGCCUGACCCAGCAACGCCGCGUGAAGGAAGAAGGCUUUCGGGUUGUAAACUUCUUUUGUCAGGGACGAAGCAAGUGACGGUACCUGACGAAUAAGCCACGGCUAACUACGUGCCAGCAGCCGCGGUAAUACGAAGGUGGCAAGCGUUAUCCGGAUUUACUGGGUGUAAAGGGCGUGUAGGCGGGGAAGCAAGUCAGAUGUGAAAACCACGGGCUCAACCUGUGGCCUGCAUUUGAAACUGUUUUUCGUGAGUGCUGGAGAGGCAAUCGGAAUUCCGUGUGUAGCGGUGAAAUGCGUAGAUAUACGGAGGAACACCAGUGGCGAAGGCGGAUUGCUGGACAGUAACUGACGCUGGGGCGCGAAAGCGUGGGGAGCAAAC
RNAcentral lists this ribosomal RNA (401 nucleotides) under uncultured bacterium. RNAcentral describes it as "bacterial SSU rRNA". It matches the Rfam family "Bacterial small subunit ribosomal RNA", at positions 358 to 773 of the family's 1533-position model. The record is from RNAcentral.